This 93-nucleotide ribosomal RNA is filed under the name Acanthosepion pharaonis. Lineage: Eukaryota; Metazoa; Mollusca; Cephalopoda; Sepiida; Sepiidae. The record is from RNAcentral.
AAAAACAGCUUCUCGUAUGAUCAUCGAAGUUAAGCAACAUCUAGCCUGGUCAGUACCUAGAUGGGUGACCGUUUGAGAAUACCAGGUGCUGAA